UAAUAAGUGUUUUUAUGGCACUUUUUAAAUCCAUAUCCACCUUGUGUGCAAUGUCAGUCGAUCUUCUUCAUGGAGAUCGACCAAACAUCAACCUUUAUCCUUUUAACUCUUUGUCUGAAAAAAUAUUAUGAAUAAACAAUUCAAAAUA
Molecule: unclassified non-coding RNA, 148 nt
Filed under: soil metagenome
Description: partial internal transcribed spacer 1
Source: RNAcentral